Molecule: ribosomal RNA, 373 nt
Filed under: Quindina limbata
Lineage: Eukaryota; Metazoa; Arthropoda; Arachnida; Opiliones; Nomoclastidae
Description: partial small subunit ribosomal RNA
Source: RNAcentral
GAUAGAUACCCUAGUAUUUAUAUCUGUUAGAUUAGUAUUAAUUGAAAUUUAAAGAUUUUGGCGGUUAAUUAUAAAUUAGAGGAGCUUGUUUUUAUAGAAUUAACUCUUUGUAUCUUAUAAUUAUUUUGUUUAUUUAUCUCCGUUAUUAGAAGUAAGAGUUUGAGAAAAAUGAUUUUUUUAUUUCAGGUCAAGAUGUAGCAAUUAAUUUAUAUAAUUAGCUACAAUUAUAAAGUAGAUGAAUUUAUUUAGGAAAUUUGUAAUGAAAUUGAAUUUAAUUGUAAUAUUAUUUAGAAUGAUAUUAUGAAUUAGUGUAAUUAAUGUACAUAUUGCCCGUCACUUCUGUUGGUAAAAUAGAAUAAGUCGUAACAAAGUA